CUCAAACAGGCAACUGCUACACAAGCAGGAAACAACCCAAUCACCACCACACAUUUGAGACAAUGCUGAGAGUUGUGGGACAUUUGUUGUGUCUCUUUAUAUGCUGUCUAGGAGCUGAUGGCUUGACUGAGACACUGGUGGAACUUGGACAGAAUACAAUCAUAAACUGUUCUCUUAACAUAGAAAGUGCAUACUGGUACAUACAGCACCAACCACAGCCUCCACUGGCCAUACUCCGCUCUUUCACUAGUAGUAGUCCUGCUGCUUUUUAUUACAAUAAUAAUUAUAGACAGAAAUAUUCAUUAGAAACAGGAAAUAGUUUGUUCAUACAGAAUGUAACAGUAGAUGAUUGUGGAGUGUUCUACUGUGCAAAGAAAGAAGACCAGAGUCUCCUAUUUAGCAAUGGCGCCAGACUCAUGACCACUGACUAUCCAAACCAGACCUCCAACUACAGAUCAUCAUGGGAGAACUGUCUUCUGUCCAUUUACAGCGUUCUGAAUGUUAUUCUGAUGGUUAUGAUCCUGGUACAUAUCGUGGCCUUGGCAUGUCAGAACAGAAACUGUCUUAUAAAACUAAGACCACCUCAACAUGCAGACCAGAGAAAUCAGUGAAACAGAUCACAGCACCACCAAGAAGAUUCCAUCCCGAACUUGUAUCAAUAAUUACAAUUGCAG
Molecule: long non-coding RNA, 674 nt
Organism: Salvelinus namaycush (lake trout)
Lineage: Eukaryota; Metazoa; Chordata; Actinopteri; Salmoniformes; Salmonidae
Exons: 5
Source: RefSeq, a predicted model, not a curated record